GAUGAACGCUGGCGGCGUGCCUAAUACAUGCAAGUCGAGCGAACAGACGAGGAGCUUGCUCCUCUGACUUUAGCGGCGGACGGGUGAGUAACACGUGGAUAACCUACCUAUAAGACUGGGAUAACUUCGGGAAACCGGAGCUAAUACCGGAUAAUAUAUUGAUCCGCAUUGUUCUAUAGUGAAAGACGUUUUUUCUGUCACUUAUAGAUGGAUCCGCGCUGCUUUAGCUAGUUGGUAAGGUAACGGCUUACCAAGGCGACGAUGCGUAGCCGACCUGAGAGGGUGAGCGGCCACACUGGAACUGAGACACGGACCAGACUCCUACGGGAGGCAGCAGUAGGGAAUGUUCCGCAAUGGGCGAAAGCAUGACGGAGCAACGCCGCGUGAGUGAUGAAGGUCUUCGGAUCGUAAAAAUCUGUUAUUAGGGAAGAACAAAUGUGUAAGUAACUAUGCACGUCUUGACGGUACCUAAUCAGAAAGCCACGGCUAACUACGUG
Molecule: ribosomal RNA, 497 nt
Filed under: uncultured bacterium
Lineage: Bacteria
Description: partial 16S ribosomal RNA
Rfam family: Bacterial small subunit ribosomal RNA
Source: RNAcentral